GUAUAAUGUCAUUAUCAUGCUCUGCAGCCUGAAGCUAUAAAAGAGAUCAAAGGGAUCAGGAUUUAACCAUCAAAUUUUAGUUUAUCAAAUAAAAAUGGUGCAUAGAAGGAGCUUGUUCUUUGUUAUUUACACAAUCAUCUUGCUUGUGUUUCUCUCGUUCCCAUCUGAGAUGGUGAUAGCUACACGAGUCCAGGUCCCUAAAACCAAAGAGCAACUUAAAAAUUUUCUGGAAAGUAAAGUUGGUGCUGGUGGAAGUUCUUCCCCAGGAGGAGGUUCUGGUGCCCCGGGCCCUUGAUCCCGGGAGUAGUCUUCCCUAGCUGGUUCAUCAAAGGCUGUUUCUCUACAGAGGAUUAUGAUAUAUGUUUCUAUAUAUGAGACACAGCAUGAUCAGUGAUUACAAUAUAUUUAUUAUUGAUAUUAUAGUUAUAUGUAAUAAUAUUUGUUGAAUCGGUGAAAUAAUAAUAUAUUAUAUUUUCUUAAAUA
Molecule: long non-coding RNA, 483 nt
Organism: Manihot esculenta (cassava)
Lineage: Eukaryota; Viridiplantae; Streptophyta; Magnoliopsida; Malpighiales; Euphorbiaceae
Exons: 2
Source: RefSeq, a predicted model, not a curated record